RNAcentral lists this ribosomal RNA (1466 nucleotides) under Microbacterium sp. MG-2011-86-GJ. RNAcentral's name for it is "16S ribosomal RNA". It matches the Rfam family "Bacterial small subunit ribosomal RNA". Lineage: Bacteria; Bacillati; Actinomycetota; Actinomycetes; Micrococcales; Microbacteriaceae. The record is from RNAcentral.
UAGAGUUUGAUCAUAGCUCAGGAUGAACGCUGACGCCGUGCUUUAACACAUGCAAGUCGCACGGUGAAACCAAGCUUGCUUGGUGGAUCAGUGGCGAACGUGUGAGUAACACGUGAGCAACCUGCCCUGGACUCUGGGAUAAGCGCUGGAGACGGCGUCUAAUACAAGAUAUGAGAAGGGAUGGGAUCGUCGCGUGACUUAAGAAAACAUUUCCGGUCAGGAAUGGGCGACGGCCCUAUCAGCUUCUGGGUGAGGUAUGGCUCACCAGGGCGUAGACGGGUAGCCGGCCUGAGAGGGUGUCCGGCCACACUGGGACUGAGACACGGCCCAGACUCCUACGGGAGGCAGCAGUGGGGAAUAUUGCACAAUGGGCGAAAUCCUGAUGCAGCAACGCCGCGUGAGGGAUGUCGGCCUUCGGGUUGUAAACCUCUUUUAGCAGGGAAGAAGCGAAAGUGACGGUACCUGCAGAAAAAGCUCCGGCUAACUACGUGCCAGCAGCCGCGGUAAUACGUAGGGCGCAAUGCGGUAUAUCCGGAAUUAUUGGGCGUAAAGAGCUCGUAGGCGGUUUGUCGCGUCUGCUGUGAAAUCCCGAGGCUCAACCUCGGGCCUGCAGUGGGUACGGGCAGACUAGAGUGCGGUAGGGGAGAUUGGAAUUCCUGGUGUAGCGGUGGAAUGCGCAGAUAUCAGGAGGAACACCGAUGGCGAAGGCCAGAUCUCUGGGCCGUAACUGACGCUGAGGAGCGAAAGGGUGGGGAGCAAACAGGCUUAGAUACCCUGGUAGUCCACCCCGUAAACGUUGGGAACUAGUUGUGGGGACCAUUCCACGGUUUCCGUGACGCAGCUAACGCAUUAAGUUCCCCGCCUGGGGAGUACGGCCGCAAGGCUAAAACUCAAAGGAAUUGACGGGGACCCGCACAAGCGGCGGAGCAUGCGGAUUAAUUCGAUGCAACGCGAAGAACCUUACCAAGGCUUGACAUAUACGAGAACGGGCCAGAAAUGGUCAACUCUUUGGACACUCGUAAACAGGUGGUGCAUGGUUGUCGUCAGCUCGUGUCGUGAGAUGUUGGGUUAAGUCCCGCAACGAGCGCAACCCUCGUUCUAUGUUGCCAGCACGUAAUGGUGGGAACUCAUGGGAUACUGCCGGGGUCAACUCGGAGGAAGGUGGGGAUGACGUCAAAUCAUCAUGCCCCUUAUGUCUUGGGCUUCACGCAUGCUACAAUGGCCGGUACAAAGGGCUGCAAUACCGUGAGGUGGAGCGAAUCCCAAAAAGCCGGUCCCAGUUCGGAUUGAGGUCUGCAACUCGACCUCAUGAAGUCGGAGUCGCUAGUAAUCGCAGAUCAGCAACGCUGCGGUGAAUACGUUCCCGGGUCUUGUACACACCGCCCGUCAAGUCAUGAAAGUCGGUAACACCUGAAGCCGGUGGCCCAACCCUUGUGGAGGGAGCCGUCGAAGGUGGGAUCGGUAAU